This 305-nucleotide long non-coding RNA is filed under the name Homo sapiens (human). RNAcentral's name for it is "LHRI_LNC999.1". Lineage: Eukaryota; Metazoa; Chordata; Mammalia; Primates; Hominidae. The record is from RNAcentral.
CAGCUCACCUCCCAGUUUCAAGCGAUUCUCCUGCCUCAGCCUCCCAAGCAGCUGGGAUUACAGGCGCCGCCACCACGCUUGGCUAAUUUUUUGUAUUUUUAGUAGACACGCGGUUUCACCGUGUUGGUCAGGCUGGUCUUGAACUCCUGACCUCAAGUGAUCUACCCACCUCGGCUUCCCAAACUGCUGGGAUUACAGGCAUAAGCCACUGUGCCCAACCUGGGGUAUUCUUAUUGUAAAACAUUUUACACGAAAAAUAUACUUUGAAUCAGGAGAGAAACAUUUCAACACAGCAUCAUUAUUUC